RNAcentral lists this unclassified non-coding RNA (228 nucleotides) under Hevea brasiliensis (rubber tree). Lineage: Eukaryota; Viridiplantae; Streptophyta; Magnoliopsida; Malpighiales; Euphorbiaceae. The record is from RNAcentral.
GUGUGCAUUAUGGCUCUGAUGUUGGUGGGUUAUCGACUGGUUGCUUAUUGGGCAUUGCAUAGAGUGCAUUGAGGUGAACUUAUAUAGCAGAGGUCUCAUUUCAAGAAGAAAGAGAGUUUGAAGAGUUUCCUCCUUCUUCAACUGAGGAAUAAUAAUGUUUUUGAUUUAGCUGGGAAUAUCAGGAUGAGUGGAUGUGUUGACUUCCUUUUAGUUAUUGCUAACUUUGAA